UGCGGUUAAAAGGCUCGUAGUUGGAUCUCGGCGGGUAGAAGGCGGUACACUGCUAAGUGUUACUGCCUUAUUACCCGUAGUUUUUGCUAGAGGUUUCAGGGUGCUCUUAAUCGAGUGUCCUGGGAUGCUAGCAGGUUUACUUUGAAAAAAUUAGAGUGCUCAAAGCAGGCUACUACGCUUGAAUAUUCGUGCAUGGAAUAAUAGAAUAGGAAGUCGUUUCUAUUUUGUUGGUUUUCGGAAAUCGACUUAAUGAUUAAUAGGGACAGUCGGGGGCAUUUGUAUUCAAACGACAGAGGUGAAAUUCUUGGACCGUUUGAAGACAAACUACUGCGAAAGCAUUUGCCAAGAAUGUUUUCAUUGAUCAAGAACGAAAGUUAGAGGUUCGAAGGCGAUUAGAUACCGCCCUAGUUCUAACCAUAAACGAUGCCAGCUAGCGAUCUGCGGACGUUUUUUUUGUAGACUCCGCAGGAAGCUUCCGGGAAACCAAAGCGUGUGGGUUCCGGGGGA
Molecule: ribosomal RNA, 507 nt
Filed under: uncultured marine eukaryote
Lineage: Eukaryota
Description: SSU rRNA
Rfam family: Eukaryotic small subunit ribosomal RNA
Source: RNAcentral